UACAGAGGGGGCAAGCGUUAUUCGGAAUUAUUGGGCGUAAAGGGCGCGUAGGCGGCUUUGCAAGUGACGGGUGAAAUCCCUCGGCUUAACCGAGGAACUGCCUGUCAGACUGUGAGGCUUGAGACCGGGAGAGGUGAGUGGAAUUCCCAGUGUAGCGGUGAAAUGCGUAGAUAUCCGGAGGAACACCGGUGGCGAAGGCGGCUUCCUGGACCGACACUGACGCUGAGGCGCGAAAGCUAGGGGAGCAAACGGG
RNAcentral lists this ribosomal RNA (253 nucleotides) under uncultured bacterium. RNAcentral's name for it is "partial 16S ribosomal RNA". It matches the Rfam family "Bacterial small subunit ribosomal RNA", at positions 524 to 776 of the family's 1533-position model. The record is from RNAcentral.